UACGUAGGGGGGCAAGCGUUUGUCCGGAUUUAUUGGGCGUAAAGAGCGUGUAGGCGGCUAGAUAGGUCCGUUGUGAAAACUCGAGGCUCAACCUCGAGACGUCGAUGGAAACCAUCUGGCUAGAGUCCGGAAGAGGAGAGUGGAAUUCCUGGUGUAGCGGUGGAAUGCGCAGAUAUCAGGAGGAACACCAAUAGCGAAGGCAGCUCGCUGGGACGUUACUGACACUAAGGCGCGAAAGCGUGGGGAGCGAACAGG
RNAcentral lists this ribosomal RNA (255 nucleotides) under uncultured bacterium. Its description in RNAcentral is "partial 16S ribosomal RNA". It matches the Rfam family "Bacterial small subunit ribosomal RNA", at positions 524 to 776 of the family's 1533-position model. The record is from RNAcentral.